This 388-nucleotide ribosomal RNA is filed under the name uncultured bacterium. RNAcentral describes it as "bacterial SSU rRNA". It matches the Rfam family "Bacterial small subunit ribosomal RNA", at positions 60 to 493 of the family's 1533-position model. The record is from RNAcentral.
AGUCGAACGAAGUAGCAAUACUUAGUGGCAGACGGGUGAGUAACAUGUAGGUAUCUGCCCUUUGGCCUGGAAUAACACGAGGAAACUUGUGCUAAUACCGGAUAAGUCUUUACGGAGAAAGCUUUAUGCACCAUUGGAUGAGCCUGCACUUGAUUAGUUUGUUGGUGGGGUAAUGGCCUACCAAGACUGUGAUCAAUAGCUGAUUUGAGAGGAUGAUCAGCCACAUUGGGACUGAGACACGGCCCAAACUCCUACGGGAGGCAGCAGUGGGGAAUCUUGCACAAUGGAGGAAACUCUGAUGCAGCGAUGCCGCGUGAGUGAAGAAGGCCCUUGGGUUGUAAAGCUCUUUCGUCGGGGAAGAAAAUGACUGUACCCGAAUAAGAAGGUC